UACGUAGGUGGCAAGCGAUACUCGGAAUCACUAGGCGUAAAGCGCAGGUAGGAGGUUUGGUAAGUCUCUUGUGAAAGCUCCCGGCUCAACUGGGAGAGGUCAAGGGAAACUACCAGGCUAGAGUGCGGUAGAGGUAGCUGGAAUUCCCGGUGUAGCGGUGAAAUGCGUAGAUAUCGGGAGGAAUACCUAUGGCGAAAGCAGGCUACUGGACCGUCACUGACUCUGAUCUGCGAAAGCUAGGGGAGCAAACAGG
This 253-nucleotide ribosomal RNA is filed under the name uncultured bacterium. Its description in RNAcentral is "partial 16S ribosomal RNA". It matches the Rfam family "Bacterial small subunit ribosomal RNA", at positions 524 to 776 of the family's 1533-position model. The record is from RNAcentral.